UGCAAGUCGAGCGGCAGCGCGGGGCAACCUGGCGGCGAGCGGCGAACGGGUGAGUAACAUAUCGGAACGUAUCCUUGAGUGGGGGACAACCCGUCGAAAGACAGGCUAAUACCGCAUACGCUCGAGAGAGGAAAGUGGGGGACCGCAAGGCCUCACGCUGAAGGAGCGGCCGAUAUUCGAUUAGCUAGUUGGUGAGGUAAAGGCUCACCAAGGCUACGAUCGAUAGCUGGUCUGAGAGGAUGAUCAGCCACACUGGAACUGAGACACGGUCCAGACUCCUACGGGAGGCAGCAGUGGGGAAUUUUGGACAAUGGGGGCAACCCUGAUCCAGCCAUUCCGCGUGAGUGAAGAAGGCCUUCGGGUUGUAAAGCUCUUUUGUUCGGGACGAAACGGUUAAGGUUAAUAACCUUGACUACUGACGGUACCGGAAGAAUAAGCACCGGCUAACUACGUGCCAGCAGCCGCGGUAAUACGUAGGGUGCGAGCGUUAAUCGGAAUUACUGGGCGUAAAGCGUGCGCAGGCGGUUAUGUAAGCCAGAUGUGAAAUCCCCGGGCUCAACCUGGGAAUGGCAUUUGGGACUGCAUAGCUAGAGUAUGGCAGAGGAGA
RNAcentral lists this ribosomal RNA (607 nucleotides) under uncultured bacterium. Its description in RNAcentral is "bacterial SSU rRNA". It matches the Rfam family "Bacterial small subunit ribosomal RNA", at positions 56 to 660 of the family's 1533-position model. The record is from RNAcentral.